AUGUGUAUCCAGUCUGGAAAGGCUAGUCUUCCUACAAUGAACUGCUUUUGUACCUUUUUCAGAAAUGGGUUGUGCUGUGCUCCUACAGCCAUCACUACUCAGCUCAGGAGUUGUAUCCUCCAGAAUCCAUUGCCUGUGCUCUUCAAAAUGACACGCAAUUCAGAGACUCCACAUGCUUGCGUGAGAUUUGAGUUUGGCUUCCAGUUUCUUAGCCGAUACCCUAGAACCUGUUUGAAGAUGAAGGAUCAGAUAAUGACACUUUAUUAGAUGCUACAGGGCACUCAGAGGAGUUGGUCUCCAUUCAAGGACUUCAUGUGAGAAGGAUUCAACACUCCUUACCGGGAUAUCUAGUAGAACAAACACGUGUGUGCUACAGAGCAAGACAGGCACGACUUCCUCUGGGCUCCUGUACCUGCAGAAGAGUUCAGCUUUUUCCUCAUGCUAUGUCCUACCAAUUCUUUUAACAAGGCCCAGUGGAACAGGAUACAACUGGGUAUGUAAACAUCUUAACAAACAAUAAUUUGAUAAAUUGCCUAUUGAAAACUUAGCCUGUGCCAAGUCUUCUUCUAAACACUUUGGAAGCAUUAACUCAUUCAAUCACCACAAUAAUUUUUUUUUUUUUUUUGACAGGCAGAGUGGACAGUGAGAGAGACAGAGAGAAAGGUCUUCUUUUGCAGUUGGUUCACCCUCCAAUGGCCGUCGCAGCCGGCGCACCGCGCUGAUCCGAAGGCAGGAGCCAGGUGCUUCUCCUGGUCUCCCAUGGGGUGCAGGGCCCAAGCACUUGGGCCAUCCUCCACUGCACUCCCUGGCCACAGCAGAGAGCUGGCCUGGAAGAGGGGCAACUGGGACAGAAUCCGGCGUCCCACAAUAAUUUUAUAAAGAAGUAUUAUUAGAAUCCCUAUUAAGGGCUGACAUUUUGGCAUAAUGGGCUGAACCUCCACCUACAACACUGGCACACCCACUCAGGCAGUUUAAAGCCCCGCUGCUCCACUUCCAAUCUGGCUCCCUGCUAAUGAGCCUGGGAAAGCAGGGUAUGAUGGCCUAAGUCCUCCGGCCCCUGCUACCCACGGGGGAGCCUUGGAAGGAUCUCCUGGCUCCUGGGUUUGGCCUGGUACAGUCCCAGCUGUUGCAGCCAUUUGAGGAGUGAACUAGCUGAUGGAAGCGUGUGCUCUCUCUCUCUCUAUAUAUAUACAUAUAUAUG
Molecule: long non-coding RNA, 1201 nt
Filed under: Oryctolagus cuniculus (rabbit)
Lineage: Eukaryota; Metazoa; Chordata; Mammalia; Lagomorpha; Leporidae
Description: lncRNA (ENSOCUG00000034126.1)
Source: RNAcentral